AUGCCGUUUCUGGAUGCUCAUAAGUUGUGGACGAAGCUUCAAGAUAAAUAUGGUGUGUCCAAGUUUUGUGGCGAUGAUUGUUCUCCCUUCACCUCCGGCCGCGUUGCCUUCACAACUUCUUCUACUUCACAUACAUGUGGAUUGCCACAAGGUAAUGCUAUGGUGAGUAGUGUUGGUCAUUGCAAUGAUGAUAGUGUGCUAAUCGUUGGUGACUCUUCAUCACUAUCUUAUUGCAAUGCUCCUUCUGUGGACUUUAACACUUCGAGCACUCCAAAUGUUUCACAUGCUUGUGUUGAUAGUCCUAGCAUAUCAUGUAGAAAUUGUUUGACUAAAUCUCAUGAUGAUAUGCUUGCUAUGUCUUGUUGCCAUGAUAAAAAUGCAUUUAUUUCCUUGAAUUGUUGUGCUAACAAUGUAGAGGAAACCGAACACUCCAUGGAACAAGAUGUGGUGUUUAAUGGUGCCUCAAGGGAUCCUACAUCAUCAUCUAUUGCUUUUUGCCUUAUGACUAAGGCGUAA
RNAcentral lists this ribosomal RNA (516 nucleotides) under Triticum aestivum (bread wheat). RNAcentral describes it as "partial small subunit ribosomal RNA". Lineage: Eukaryota; Viridiplantae; Streptophyta; Magnoliopsida; Poales; Poaceae. The record is from RNAcentral.